GAAGAAAACUGGGGGGGGUCCACCACCAGCAAACCUGAAGCCAUGUGAAGAUAAGAUCAUUUCUAUCCUGGAUGAUAGCAUGGUGGUUGGGAUAGAAGGUGGUUUUGACACCAGUGAAUGUGGAAGUUCAAGUAAAUGUAUUGAAUUCCCAGGAGCUUCAUCUCAUGCAGAAGCUCCCAGAACUCAGGAAAAGUAUAAACCUGCCCAGCAGAGUAUGUGUACUCUCCCCUCCUCAUCUGCUGAUGGUAAGUUCUUUAUUGUGAUCUAAAUUUUGUUUGGUAGUAUAGAAAUCAUUCAAAGUUUUACAAAAAGAAUUUUUUAGAAAUCAAUUGAAUAAAUGAAAU
Long non-coding RNA from Saccostrea cuccullata (small rock oyster), 344 nucleotides. RefSeq lists it as uncharacterized. The record is from RefSeq and is a predicted model, not a curated record. The transcript has 3 exons. NCBI's taxonomy places the organism in Eukaryota, Metazoa, Mollusca, Bivalvia, Ostreida, Ostreidae.